CUGAGGAGCUCGGGAGCGGUCAUGUUUUCGAACCGGGUCAGGACCGGAAGGUAGCAGCCCUAAGAAAUCCUCUCUCCGGCCCCGAUGCCUCUUCAGCUC
RNAcentral lists this signal recognition particle RNA (99 nucleotides) under Chlamydiae bacterium RIFCSPHIGHO2_12_FULL_49_11. Its description in RNAcentral is "signal recognition particle sRNA small type". It matches the Rfam family "Bacterial small signal recognition particle RNA". From Rfam's summary of the family: The signal recognition particle (SRP) is a universally conserved ribonucleoprotein involved in the co-translational targeting of proteins to membranes. Archaeal SRP consists of a 7S RNA and homologues of the eukaryotic SRP19 and SRP54 proteins. Lineage: Bacteria; Pseudomonadati; Chlamydiota. The record is from RNAcentral.